Molecule: ribosomal RNA, 497 nt
Filed under: uncultured bacterium
Lineage: Bacteria
Description: partial 16S ribosomal RNA
Rfam family: Bacterial small subunit ribosomal RNA
Source: RNAcentral
GAUGAACGCUGGCGGCGUGCUUAACACAUGCAAGUCGAACGAAGCAUUCUAACGGAACAUUUUCGGCUGGGAAGUUAAAAUGACUGAGUGGCGGCUGGGUGCGUAACGCGUGGAUAACCUAGCAUAAACAGGGGGACAACAGUUGGAAACGACUGCUAAUAACGCGUAAGAGCACAGUGCCGCAUGGCACGGUGGGAAAAACUCCGGUGGUAUAUGAUGGAUCCGCGUCUGAUUAGCUAGUUGGUGAGGUAAUGGCCCACCAAGGCAACGAUCAGUAGCCGACCUGAGAGGGUGACCGGCCACAUUGGGACUGAGACACGGCCCAAACUCCUACGGGAGGCAGCAGUGGGGAAUAUUGCACAAUGGGCGAAAGCCUGAUGCAGCGACGCCGCGUGAGCGAAGAAGUAUUUCGGUAUGUAAAGCUCUAUCAGCAGGGAAGAAAAUGACGGUACCUGACUAAGAAGCCCCGGCUAACUACGUGCCAGCCGCCGCGGUAA